Molecule: ribosomal RNA, 216 nt
Filed under: uncultured bacterium
Lineage: Bacteria
Description: partial 16S ribosomal RNA
Rfam family: Bacterial small subunit ribosomal RNA
Source: RNAcentral
UGGGAACGUACCCUUUGGUUCGGAACAACCCAGGGAAACUUGGGCUAAUACCGGAUAAGUCCGUAAGGAGAAAGAUUUAUCGCCAAAGGAUCGGCCCGCGUCUGAUUAGCUAGUUGGUAGGGUAAUGGCCUACCAAGGCUACGAUCAGUAGCUGGUCUGAGAGGAUGAUCAGCCACAUUGGGACUGAGAUACGGCCCAAACUCCUACGGGAGGCAG